UCCUGGCUCAGGAUGAACGCUAGCUACAGGCUUAACACAUGCAAGUCAGGGGCAGCAUUGGGUAGCAAUACUUCAGAUGGCGACCGGCGCACGGGUGAGUAACACGUAUCCAACCUGCCGCUUACUCGGGGAUAGCCUUUCGAAAGAAAGAUUAAUACCCGAUGGUAUAAAGAGUUCGCAUGUUCUCUUUAUUAAAGAAUUUCGGUAAGCGAUGGGAUGCGUUCCAUUAGAUUGUUGGCGGGGUAACGGCCCACCAAGUCUACGAUGGAUAGGGGUUCUGAGAGGAAGGUCCCCCCACAUUGGAACUGAGACACGGUCCAAACUCCUACGGGAGGCAGCAGUGAGGAAUAUUGGCAAUGGACGAGAGUCUGAACCAGCCAAGUAGCGUGAAGGAUGACUGCCCUAUGGGUUGUAAACUUCUUUUAUAAGGGAAUAAAGUGAGGGACGUGUCCCUUUUUGUAUGUACCUUAUGAAUAAGGAUCGGCUAACUCCGUGCCAGCAGCAGC
This 506-nucleotide ribosomal RNA is filed under the name uncultured bacterium. RNAcentral describes it as "bacterial SSU rRNA". It matches the Rfam family "Bacterial small subunit ribosomal RNA", at positions 17 to 518 of the family's 1533-position model. The record is from RNAcentral.